Molecule: signal recognition particle RNA, 298 nt
Filed under: Saimiri boliviensis boliviensis (Bolivian squirrel monkey)
Lineage: Eukaryota; Metazoa; Chordata; Mammalia; Primates; Cebidae
Description: Metazoan signal recognition particle RNA (ENSSBOG00000008228.1)
Rfam family: Metazoan signal recognition particle RNA
About the family: The signal recognition particle (SRP) is a universally conserved ribonucleoprotein.
Source: RNAcentral
GCCGGGCGCAGUGGCGCGUGCCUGUAGUCCCAGCUACUCGAGAGGCUGAGGUGGGAGGAUCUCUGAGCCCAGGAGUUCUGGGCUGUAGUGCGCCAUGCUGAUUGGGUGUCUGCACUAAGUUCGGCAUCAAUAUGGCGACCUCUUAGGAGUGGGGGACCACCAGGCUGCCUAAGGAGGGGUGAACCGGCCCAGGUCGGAAACGGAGCAGGUCAAAACUCUCGUGCUGAUCAGUAGUGGGAUUGCGCCUGUGAAUAGCCACCGCACUACAGCCUGGGCAACAUAGCGAGACCUUGUGUCU